GACGAACGCUGGCGGCGUGCUUAACACAUGCAAGUCGAACGUGAUUUUUGUGGAAAUUCUUUCGGGAAUGGAAAUGAAAUGAAAGUGGCGAACGGGUGAGUAACACGUGAGCAACCUACCUUACACAGGGGGAUAGCCGUUGGAAACGACGAUUAAUACCGCAUGAGACCACAGAAUCGCAUGAUAUAGGGGUCAAAGAUUUAUCGGUGUAAGAAGGGCUCGCGUCUGAUUAGCUAGUUGGAAGGGUAAAGGCCUACCAAGGCGACGAUCAGUAGCCGGUCUGAGAGGAUGAACGGCCACAUUGGAACUGAGACACGGUCCAAACUCCCACGGGAGGCAGCAGUGGGGAAUAUUGCACAAUGGGGGGAACCCUGAUGCAGCGACGCCGCGUGAGCGAAGAAGGUUUUCGAAUCGUAAAGCUCUGUCCUAUGAGAAGAUAAUGACGGUAUCAUAGGAGGAAGCCCCGGCUAAAUACGUGCCAGCAGCCGCGGUAAUACGUAUGGGGCGAGCGUUGUCCGGAAUUAUUGGGCGUAAAGGGUACGUAGGCGGUUUUUUAAGUCAGGUGUGAAAGCGUGAGGCUUAACCUCAUUAAGCACUUGAAACUGGAAGACUUGAGUGAAGGAGAGGAAAGUGGAAUUCCUAGUGUAGCGGUGAAAUGCGUAGAUAUUAGGAGGAAUACCGGUGGCGAAGGCGACUUUCUGGACUUUUACUGACGCUCAGGUACGAAAGCGUGGGGAGCAAACAGG
RNAcentral lists this ribosomal RNA (746 nucleotides) under uncultured Parvimonas sp. Its description in RNAcentral is "bacterial SSU rRNA". It matches the Rfam family "Bacterial small subunit ribosomal RNA", at positions 28 to 776 of the family's 1533-position model. Lineage: Bacteria; Bacillati; Bacillota; Tissierellia; Tissierellales; Peptoniphilaceae. The record is from RNAcentral.